Molecule: ribosomal RNA, 497 nt
Filed under: uncultured bacterium
Lineage: Bacteria
Description: partial 16S ribosomal RNA
Rfam family: Bacterial small subunit ribosomal RNA
Source: RNAcentral
AUUGAACGCUGGCGGCAGGCCUAACACAUGCAAGUCGAGCGCGAAAGUCCUUCGGGAUGAGUAGAGCGGCGGACGGGUGAGUAACGCGUAGGAAUCUGUCCGGUAGUGGGGGAUAACGUUCCGAAAGGAACGCUAAUACCGCAUACGCCCCAUGGGGGAAAGCGGGGGAUCUUCGGACAUCGAGCUACCGGGGGAGCCUGCGUCGGAUUAGCUAUGUGGUAGGGUAAAGGGCUAACAAGGCGACGAUCCGUAGCUGUUCUGAGAGGAUGAUCAUCCACACCGGAACUGAGACACGGUCCGGACUCCUACGGGAGGCAGCAGUGGGGAAUAUCGCGCAAUGGGGGCAACCCUGACGCAGCCAUGCCGCGUGUGUGAAGAAGGCCUUCGGGUUGUAAAGCACUUUCAGAGGGGAGGAAAGGGCGCUGGCUAAUAUCCAGCGCAGUUGACGCUACCCUCAGAAGAAGCACCGGCUAAUUCCGUGCCAGCCGCCGCCGUAA